Molecule: long non-coding RNA, 596 nt
Filed under: Manacus vitellinus (golden-collared manakin)
Lineage: Eukaryota; Metazoa; Chordata; Aves; Passeriformes; Pipridae
Description: lncRNA (ENSMVIG00005000254.1)
Source: RNAcentral
AGAAGAGAACAGUACACACAUGGCUUUGUAGUUUAACAGUGACAAAAGGAUGUAAAUGUACAAACUAGAAGAUGGGAUGGACACACAGCAACAGUUGUAGAAGCAGAGCUUCCCUGAUGGAUCAGGAGCGACCUGGAGCCCUGGCAGUAGCGGUGUUCUCCAGAUGGCUUUUCCACGGCGUCGUCUUCCGCAACACACCAGUGAGCCACGAGACUGAGAUGGAAAUUCCAGUGUGGGGAGGGUGUGAGUCAUGAGAUGAUCCUGACCAUUAGGAAGACACUGCUGCAGAGUCUGAAACCCAACCCAUCUAUCUAUUCCUUAUUCUCAAGAAACCUUGGGUUAGAAGCUGCCGAAAAAUUUCCUUCUGGAUAAAUAACUGUGAUGUCCCCACCAAGCACACGUUCUCAGUGAGCUGGAUUUCUUCACUGGGAUUGUUGGAACACUGUCCUGCUUGGAGGUCUCUCUUGUAGAGGAAUUAUUCAGCUCCACAAAAGGAGUGAUAAAAGUUAAAAUGCUUUGCAUUCACUCCCAGGCACAAGACUUUAUUAUUUGAGAUUCUGUUUGGAAAUAAAUGAGUUCUUGUCGUAAAUUGGGCA